UACGUAGGGGGCAAGCGUUGUCCGGAUUUAUUGGGCGUAAAGAGCGUGUAGGCGGCCGUACAGGUCAGCUGUGAAAACUCGAGGCUCAACCUCGAGACGUCGGUUGAAACCGUACGGCUAGAGUCCGGAAGAGGAGAGUGGAAUUCCCGGUGUAGCGGUGAAAUGCGCAGAUAUCGGGAAGAACACCCGUGGCGAAGGCGGCUCUCUGGGACGGUACUGACGCUGAGACGCGAAAAGCGUGGGGGAGC
Molecule: ribosomal RNA, 248 nt
Filed under: uncultured bacterium
Lineage: Bacteria
Description: partial 16S ribosomal RNA
Rfam family: Bacterial small subunit ribosomal RNA
Source: RNAcentral